UUAAUAUCUCAAUUUUUUCGAAAACUGCACUUGAGCGUCUUAUUGUCCUCCACAGUGGCGUAUUUACCGAGGGGGGGGGGGGGUAAGAGAAAUCAAGGGAGAGGAAGAAAAAUCGGGUGGAGAGAGAACAAGACGAUAUUUUCCACGCAUGCGCCAUAAUUAUUUGACCAAAAUUUUUGAAUGUAAGGAAUUGGAGAGUCUAACUAUCUUUUUUUUCCUCAGGGAGUUGGCGGAUUUUUUCCAUCUCAUACUUAAACAAAGCAUUCUAUUUGGUCUUUAAUAAACGAUUUCUAUUCUUUCACGGUCUUUUUGGGGGAAAAUAGAGGAGAGCCUCUUAUCAUUUCUCAUGAUUGACAUUGUUAUGAAGUUGGAUUUUACGGGGUCAAAAUCCUGAAAAAUUUCCGGGGAAGGCCCUCCGGACCCCCUGGUGGGAGGUUUGUCCCCCAGAAACUUAUCCUGCAUACGCCACCGGUCCUCCAGGCCCCUCAAUUCCACUUUCUCUUCCCAUAUACCGCGCAGUCGGUGAACCUGCAAGAUUUCGGUAAGCUUAACGGCGUUGGCAACGACCCUGCUGUUACCAAAUGAAAGCUCUCCUCUGAGCUGUUGUGUUGUAAAACGACACCGUUUUAUCAGCGCGCCCCUAUGGUACCUGGAGUAGCAUUCCCAGCCGAGCCCUGCGUUUUUGGAAGUCGGUUGGAGGAGGGGAGGAGGAGGAGCCCGCAGGCCGCUCGCCAGCGAAUUUCCACUUUCACUUACGGAGGAUUAACUAAUUCUGCAAUUUCAGCUCCGAUACGGGCGAUCGGGUCCUGGAUCCGUCGCUUCAGUCUGAUACAUGCUGCUCAUCCUCGACGGAUCAAUUCCAAUGUGUGAAGGUCGAUUCCAAUACAGUUGGGUAGAAUUUUACGAUUUACAUUAACGUUGCAAAGUGAACUGGCUGAACAUGAAUGCAGCUGACCGGAUCGACAAACAUCGAACUCAAAGAUUUUGGUAAGGAUAAAAAGAACGAUAAAGUUGUCAUUCAAUCAAGAUCUCUCUACAGCAGGGUAAACAUUGAUGGAGGAGGAGUUUCCAGUUCCAAAGAUACACUAAUGAGGAGAAACUCAUUUGAAACCCAAAGCACUAACAUACCUUUGAUUGAAACUUUCAGGGAAAAAUUUCAAGAGCAAGAAAUAAGAGCUAGAAAAACUGAUACCAAUGAAUCCGAAAAAAGUGAAAUUAAAUUUUUGAUUGGUGCCAAAAAGGUACAUGAAUCAUCCACAGAAAAGCAUCAGAUGGCUGAAAAGGAUGCAACUGUAGUCCGAUAUAUUGAUGAAAAAGCAGAAAAGAAGAAACAGAGCUUAUCUUCAGCACAAAAGUCAAGAGACGCAGGAUCAAAUAAUUUUACAAAAGCAUCUGCAUUAAAUAAGAUCUCAGAUCAAUUAAACUUGACAACCAACUCCACUAAUAUUGCGGCCAAAAACUCCUCGACUGAAAAAGUGACGAAAAAUGAUAUCAAGCCACAGCAACCUGUGUUGUCUGGCGGAAAACUCUCUCAGCCUUCAUUAAAAACAAAUAAGCCACUUAAAAAUGAUACAUCAAUGGUGUCUAGAUUUCGAAAACAAGUGCUAAACUGGCAGAGUCGAGGUCCUCCACGUUUUAGCAGUGUCGAUGCUUCACAUAGAAUUCCACCGACUCACAGCUACUCAACUCUUGCUCUUCAAGCACCAGAGCCAUUCUCACAAAAAAGGACCGAUUUUUUUUCACAAAGACCAUUAAAAUUAGCUCAGCCGUACCCUGCACAAAGUUUUAAACCCGGAACACCUGAAUAUUUGCCUGAUCGAGACUUUGGUCUUUUCGAUCGGCAAGACCAAGCAGGUCAGUUUAUCCUCAAGGAUACCUUGCUCAGCCACUACCAAACAACAGUUCAUAUUAUAACACGCCAGUUGUGA
This 1928-nucleotide long non-coding RNA is filed under the name Bemisia tabaci. Its description in RNAcentral is "lncRNA ENSSSA1NGG005963". Lineage: Eukaryota; Metazoa; Arthropoda; Insecta; Hemiptera; Aleyrodidae. The record is from RNAcentral.